Molecule: long non-coding RNA, 956 nt
Organism: Numida meleagris (helmeted guineafowl)
Lineage: Eukaryota; Metazoa; Chordata; Aves; Galliformes; Numididae
Exons: 2
Source: RefSeq, a predicted model, not a curated record
UCAUUUAAAAACAUAGUGCCAUUGUCCACUUAAAAAUAAAUAAACAACCCAAACAAAAAAGAACCCAUACCAUUGUAUACCAUUUGCUUGGUCAAAAGGAGCAAUAAAGUAGACAUACAUUGGCUAAUAUACGUAAACACAUUUUUAGUGCAAGAAUAACAAGACCUGUGACUUUACUGUGCUUUCUUGAAAUCACAGUGCACUUUACACAAAUUGCUACACAAUAAUGUUUAACUUCAGGAGUUUAAAGCAAAAUAAGUGCAUACCAAACAAUUUCAUAUAUACAGUCUUGGUAAGUGUGUGUAUAUAUGUGAUCUGUAUGUAUAUACAGAUUGCAUAUUUAUACAGACUACAGCUUCAAUGACUGCGCGUAACUUAAGCACUGUCAUUCACCCUGUGACACAGAAACUGCUGAGACAAUAGGUAACGUGGAGAACAUCUGAACAGCGUUCUGACGGCGCGCAGCGGGCAGCACGACGCACCGCGACGUGAGUGAUGGGGUGGGCCAGCCGUCACAGGACACCAGGCGGCGUCUGUCGUGCCCUGGCUGUUUCCGUGACCUUGGGAAACUCCUCAGCCUGAGCCUCACUCCCUCCUCCAUAAAACGAUUCUCACGAGCGUGAGGUUCAGUCCACAUUUCUAAAGUGCUUGGAAGGUUCCCACUUACUUUGCUGAAACUGCACAUAUUAUGGGGCUGAGGAAGAUGCUGAUCUCUUCUGGUCCUUGUGAGUGUCCUCUCUCUCCUACAGGACAGGCAGAGCGGCUGACUUCACUUACACAAAGGAUGAGGAAAACUGCACCUCACACAUGUGAUUGUGGAUGUUGUACACUCUUUUCUUCAUGACAACGGCAUAUCAUAAAUAAAAUGAAAGCCCAACAGCUGAUGUGAGGCUGUACCAAAGUGAUCUUAAACCAACUCAAACUAUAAUGAAAUAAAAAUGUCAUUGACGUUUGGA